UACGUAGGGGGCAAGCGUUGUCCGGAUUUAUUGGGCGUAAAGAGCGUGUAGGCGGCUUGGUAGGUCCGCUGUGAAAACUCGAGGCUCAACCUCGAGAUGUCGGCGGAAACCACUUGGCUAGAGUCCGGAAGAGGAGAGUGGAAUUCCCGGUGUAGCGGUGAAAUGCGCAGAUAUCGGGAGGAACACUAAUGGCGAAGGCAGCUCGCUGGGACGGUACUGACGCUGGAGGUACGAAAAGCGUGGGGAGCGAACAGG
Molecule: ribosomal RNA, 255 nt
Filed under: uncultured bacterium
Lineage: Bacteria
Description: partial 16S ribosomal RNA
Rfam family: Bacterial small subunit ribosomal RNA
Source: RNAcentral